Hydra vulgaris (swiftwater hydra) is the source of this 672-nucleotide long non-coding RNA. RefSeq lists it as uncharacterized. The record is from RefSeq and is a predicted model, not a curated record. Lineage: Eukaryota; Metazoa; Cnidaria; Hydrozoa; Anthoathecata; Hydridae.
AUUAACUGUUUUAACUUUUUGUUCAGUAUGACUUCAAAUUGACGUAAAACGUUGAAAUUACGUUGAAAAGAAAUCAAUUUGACGUGAGUGCCGACUGGAUAUGACUAUGUUAGCGUGAUUGCGCUUAUGUUUGUUUUAUGCAUACGGUAUGCAUAGAAUAAACAUAGGUAUGCAGCAUACCAAAGUACGCAUAAAAUUAUUGACAUAACAUUUCUGUUAUUCAAUUAAGCUUUUUGCUUUCCAAAGAUUAUGAAGAUCAUUAAAAACUGGUUCAACAAAAAGAGGGCGUCAUAACCAUUGACUACAAAUCAAAAGUGCCCCAAGAAGUCCUUAUGGGCUUUUCACAAAGCAACGCAGAAUAGCAUUUGAAAGAAAGUUCACACCUCCUUCCUUAACAAUAUUAUUAAACUUACCCAGAGGUGGCGUUGAACCAGGGGCAGGUAUUGUCACUUGCCAAGGAGGGAGCUAAAAAGGUCUAAAAAAAAAAAAAAAGCUUCACAAAUUUUUUUUUUAAGUAACUUUCUUUUUUAAUUUUUUGUGUUUUAGUAAAACGUGGUGUAACUAAAUGGAGAUAUUUCUAAAAUGAAAAUCAAUUAACUUAAAGACUAUAAAAUAUUUAUAAAGUAAAUGUUUGUUAUGGAGAUCAUUGUUAAAAUAAUUUUAAAAGUUGAA